Molecule: ribosomal RNA, 468 nt
Filed under: uncultured Rhodocyclaceae bacterium
Lineage: Bacteria; Pseudomonadati; Pseudomonadota; Betaproteobacteria; Rhodocyclales; Rhodocyclaceae
Description: bacterial SSU rRNA
Rfam family: Bacterial small subunit ribosomal RNA
Source: RNAcentral
GACGGGACCGCACAAGCGGUGGAUGAUGUGGAUUAAUUCGAUGCAACGCGAAAACCUUACCUACCCUUGACAUGUCCGGAAUCCCGAAGAGAUUUGGGAGUGCUCGCAAGAGAACCGGAACACAGGUGCUGCAUGGCUGUCGUCAGCUCGUGUCGUGAGAUGUUGGGUUAAGUCCCGCAACGAGCGCAACCCUUGUCAUUAGUUGCCAUCAUUUGGUUGGGCACUCUAAUGAGACUGCCGGUGACAAGCCGGAGGAAGGUGGGGAUGACGUCAAGUCCUCAUGGCCCUUAUAGGUGGGGCUACACACGUCAUACAAUGGCUGGUACAAAGGGUUGCCAACCCGCGAGGGGGAGCUAAUCCCACAAAGCCAGUCGUAGUCCGGAUCGUAGUCUGCAACUCGACUACGUGAAGUCGGAAUCGCUAGUAAUCGUGGAUCAGAAUGUCACGGUGAAUACGUUCCCGGGUCUU